UACGUAGGGUGCGAGCGUUAAUCGGAAUUACUGGGCGUAAAGCGUGCGCAGGCGGUUGGUUAAGUCUGAUGUGAAAGCCCCGGGCUCAACCUGGGAAUGGCAUUGGAAACUGGCCAGCUGGAGUGUGGCAGAGGGGGGUGGAAUUCCGCGUGUAGCAGUGAAAUGCGUAGAGAUCUGGAGGAACACCGAUGGCGAAGGCAGCCCCCUGGGCUGACACUGACGCUCAUGCACGAAAGCGUGGGGAGCAAACAGG
This 253-nucleotide ribosomal RNA is filed under the name uncultured bacterium. RNAcentral's name for it is "partial 16S ribosomal RNA". It matches the Rfam family "Bacterial small subunit ribosomal RNA", at positions 524 to 776 of the family's 1533-position model. The record is from RNAcentral.